UAUUUCUUCCGAGUCAGAAAUCCCA
This 25-nucleotide non-coding RNA is filed under the name Mus musculus (house mouse). The record is from RNAcentral. Lineage: Eukaryota; Metazoa; Chordata; Mammalia; Rodentia; Muridae.